GUAAAUUAUUAAAGUUAAAGUAUAUGCAUCAUAUGUUUAAGAAAAAUUGUAAUUUACUUAUAAAAAGCUUCAUUCCAAUAUGCUUGCGUAGAGAACAGCAUUAUCAUUUGUCACACAUUGCAGUACCGUAUAUCGUUUACGCGUAAUUCGCGUCAAACUCUGCCGUACAGAGAAACAGCCCCGCACAAAAUUCAACCGUACCUAAGAGGUUGAAUGAGUUCCACGAAGUAAA
Bombus impatiens (common eastern bumble bee) is the source of this 232-nucleotide long non-coding RNA. RefSeq lists it as uncharacterized. The record is from RefSeq and is a predicted model, not a curated record. NCBI's taxonomy places the organism in Eukaryota, Metazoa, Arthropoda, Insecta, Hymenoptera, Apidae. The transcript has 3 exons.